Molecule: unclassified non-coding RNA, 309 nt
Filed under: Metarhizium sp.
Lineage: Eukaryota; Fungi; Ascomycota; Sordariomycetes; Hypocreales; Clavicipitaceae
Description: partial contains 5.8S ribosomal RNA, internal transcribed spacer 2, and large subunit ribosomal RNA
Rfam family: 5.8S ribosomal RNA (bases 1-71)
Source: RNAcentral
GUGAAUCAUCGAAUCUUUGAACGCACAUUGCGCCCGUCAGUAUUCUGGCGGGCAUGCCUGUUCGAGCGUCAUUACGCCCCUCAAGUCCCCUGUGGACUUGGUGUUGGGGAUCGGCGAGGCUGGUUUUCCAGCACAGCCGUCCCUCAAAUCAAUUGGCGGUCUCGCCGUGGCCCUCCUCUGCGCAGUAGUAAAACACUCGCAACAGGAGCCCGGCGCGGUCCACUGCCGUAAAACCCCCCAACUUUUUAUAGUUGACCUCGAAUCAGGUAGGACUACCCGCUGAACUUAAGCAUAUCAAUAAGCGGAGGA